AUUGAACGCUGGCGGCAAGCCUAACACAUGCAAGUCGAACGCGUGGCGGACGGGUGAGUAAUGUCUGGGAAACUGCCUGAUGGAGGGGGAUAACUACUGGAAACGGUAGCUAAUACCGCAUACCAUCGGAUGUGCCCAGAUGGGAUUAGCUAGUCGGUGGGGUAAAGGCUCACCUAGGCGACGAUCCCUAGCUGGUCUGCAGGGAUGACCAGCCACACUGGAACUGAGACACGGUCCAGACUCCGACGUGAGGCUGCAGUGGGGAAUAUGGCACAAGGGGCGCAAGCCUGAUGCAGCCAUGCCGCGUGUAUGAAGAAGGCCUUCGGGUUGUAAAGUACUUUCAGCGGGGAGGCGUUACCCGCAGAAGAAGCACCGGCUAACUCCGUGCCAGCCGCCGCGGUAAUAC
RNAcentral lists this ribosomal RNA (406 nucleotides) under uncultured bacterium. RNAcentral describes it as "partial 16S ribosomal RNA". It matches the Rfam family "Bacterial small subunit ribosomal RNA", at positions 30 to 526 of the family's 1533-position model. The record is from RNAcentral.